AGCUGAGCAGCUGAAGCCCCAGGACCUACAGAGCCCCAUGAGUAUGAAUGGCAUGCGGCAGACAAGAAUGUCUGGCAGUUUCCUCUGUGAAGCGGGAACUUGAAGGACCAUCUCAUCUUGCAAAGUUCAGUGGUAAUCUUCCUAUGGGUCCUGCAUGUCAACAUUUUGUCAAGCAGUCCAAAUGCUUAGUUGAGAAACUGAAAAAAGACAGUAAAUAUGGUAACACUGCUACCACUGGGAGAAGAAACCACAUCCUCAGGUGGAUCUUCACUGAACCAGCAUCCUCAAGAUUGUAAAUCUUAUUUUAGAAAGGGCUGAGAACCUAAAGUGCCAGUUCCUACAGAGGUACACCAGGGAAUAUGAACAACACCUAGCAGAUAAAGUCAGUUUGGAGAUCACAGAGACAGGAGGAUUAUGUAUUGGCUACUCAGCCUGUGUCUGGGACUGUGCUGUGCUGCACCAGCAGAGUCUAAUUCAAUGGACUGGCUCACUUGCACACACAUGCACAGGCAGCUAUGGAAGCCCCCAACUGCCCUCUACAAAGUGCAGUGGGAUACUGAGAAUAUCGGGACUUAACUGUUAUUGAAGACAGCCAUAUCGCAACUGAGUAAGGAGUGGUGGCGGUGUUUCCUGGCACCAGGGUUAUGGAGGGGCACAUGGACUCUAUGCUGAGAUGUCAGGCUUGAAAAGAACUACACUUUGGUCAUCUCUGUGCUGACAAGGCUUUUUCUUCUAAGAUUUGAAAUAUUGGUAUCUUAGUUAUGGUUUCUACUGCUGUGAAGAGACACCAUGACCAUGGCAACUCUUAUAAAGGAAAACAUUUAAUUGAGUGGCUUAUAGUUUCAGAGGUUUAGUCCAUUGUCAUCAUGGUGGGACAUGGCAGUGUGCAGGCAGACAUGGUGCUGGAGAAGAAGCUGAAAGUUCUACACCUUGAUCUGCAGGCAACAGGAAAUGAACUGUGUCACUGGGCAUAGCUUGAGCAUAGGAGACCUCAAAGCCCAUACCUGCAGAGACAUACUUCCUCCAAUAAGAUCAUACUUAUUCCAACAAAGCCAUACCUCCUAAUGCUACCACUCCCUAUGGGGGGACAUUUUCUUUCAAAUCACCACAAUUAUCCUGAAUCCUUUUCCUUUUCUGUAGAAGAAAAAAAAAAGAAAAGAAAAAGAAAGUGGUACAGAACGCUGCUUUCUGGGAAGACAUAAAGACCAUUCUACAGAAAACUUCAGAAGUAUUUGCUAAGGGGAUCUCUCAUCCAGCCGGGUCUUUGGAUGGUAGUGAAAAAAAUAAGAGUGAAGAGGUGGACCGUGGUACAGCAUGGUCAUCUACAAGGCCGAAGUCUCUUCUGUAGGAACCACACCGGGCAAAACACUGCUGGUGUGGCCUAGAGGAAGCCUCUGAUGAGUUAGCUCCCAGCACAUUGGCAUCAGCCACUCAGCCCGGGGAAAGUGUGAAGCUGACAAGGCCAGUUCAGAGUCUCAAGGACCUGUGCCCUGUGGUCAUUCCAUGAGAUUUGUACAACCAGAACCUCCAUCUUGCACCAAAGGACACCGAGAGAGAGGAACAGACACACGUGGUAUCCUGUGUGGUAGACUGAUAAAGAUAUGAAAACUUCCUGAUCUGAGACUUUCUUCCCCCUCAGCUGCCAGUGACUCUCCGGAAACUAUCCAGUGUCGGAGUCUGUAUAUAUCCCUCCACAGAAUGAUCAGGGGGUAGAAAGGCCUGGGCAGUUUGAAUUUGAUUACUUCAUACUUGGCUGCUUUUCAGAGACCCUUGAAUUAUCAAUUUGUUUCAAUGUGACAGUUAGAAAUACUCAUUCUUCUGAUAGCUAAUGCCAGUAUUCCCAGCCCUUUGCAAACUGAGGCUAGAGGCUUCCUACGAGGUCAAGGCCAGCCUCUGAUGGAGUGUGAGACAUUGUCUCACAGGAAAAGAAGGCAGGCAAGCAGGCAGACAGGCUGGCAUGAGGCAGGAAGGCUGGCUUGUUGACUAAUUCUAAACAGAGGACUCAGUUCCCUUUGUGUCCUGUUCUGAGCUCCUCCUGAGUGGUGGCCUGGGGACAUAAAUUAUCUAAGGUCUUUGUAUGUGUCCAUAAAGUGUUCAGUCCUUUGCAGAGAUAGAAGGGACCCUGGGAUAGAGAGAGUGCUGAGCAGUGUGUUCACUAGGAGAUGUAGGAACUAUGAGGAAGGCAGGGCCACUGAGGGGAGCACACUUGAACCCAUUCCUCACUUCCAAACAAGUCAAUGAGUGAUGCAAAGCAAACCUCACCUUGAUGUUAAUGAGGAAGCUGGAGCAGGGAAGCUGCUUCAGGCAGCAGAGGGGUGGGGCUCUUUCCAGAACACUUCAAGAAUGCUGAGCAGGACAGCUAGGCCUAGCAUGUGCUAGGGGGACAUCUCAGGUUCACCUUGGCAUCUGUGGCUUAACACUGCACCCCAGCAAAGCAGAACAGCCAAGGGGGGGGGGCUUCACAUGUGCUAUGAGUGGGACUGAGAGCACCAAGAGAUUGUGACAAGUUGUUUUCUCUUAGCAGGUGAGAGAGAGAGGAGUAAAUCAUAACACAUGUGAUUGUCCCAGAGCAGAACAGAGGGCCUGAGCGUUGUCACAAACAGAACAAGGAAGAGCUUGACCUCCUCCCUAAUGGCAGCUCCUAUCUCCUAGAAGGACACUGGCCAAGUUGCUCUCGAGCAGAUUCGCUCCAGAUCACCUGUCUCUGAGCAUAUACAGUCACUAGUGUUCAGUGUUGAGUCAAAGGAGCAUUUGCUUUUCUAAUUUUAUGUUACUAAAAGUGACUCUUCAAAGUUCCAAUUCCUUGUGAGUCUGCAUGGUGACAAGUAGCUUGCCUAGGAUGUAUGUGAAUGCAAUAUAGAGACCAUGUACUGUAUAAGUGAAACUAUUUUAAAUGACUCAAGGAGUUCAUUCUCU
Molecule: long non-coding RNA, 2916 nt
Organism: Peromyscus eremicus (cactus mouse)
Lineage: Eukaryota; Metazoa; Chordata; Mammalia; Rodentia; Cricetidae
Exons: 5
Source: RefSeq, a predicted model, not a curated record